UACCCCUUUUAUCGAGUUGUGACCAUUAUUAUUGAGUCUAAAGCGUUCUUAGCUGGUUUGGAUAGUUUACGCUUAAAUCUUUUCGUUUAACGGAAAGGCAUGGUAUAAAUACUUCCAGACUAGAGGCCGGGAGGGGAGAUGGGAACUUUUCGGGUAGGAGUAAAAUCCUUUAAUCCGAAAAAGACCACCAAUAGCGAAGGCACAUCUCCAGAACGGACCUGACGGUGAGGGACGAAGGCUAGGAGAACAAACCGGAUCAGAUACCCGGGUAGCCCUAGCAGUAAACGCUGCUUACUAUACGUUGCAUUUUCCUGAGAAAAUGCAGUGUGACAGCGAAGGCGUUAAGUAAGCCACUUGGGGAGUAUAAUCGCAAGGUCGAAACUUAAAGGAAUUGGCGGGGGAGCACAAAAACGGGUGAAGUUUUGCGGUUCAAUUGGAUUCAACUCCGGGAAUCUUACCAGAAGCGACAGCAAUAUGAAGGUCAGUCUGAAGAACUUACCAAAUGCGCUGAAAGGUGUUGCAUGGCCAUCAUCAGUUAGUAUCUUGAGACGUCCCGUUAAGUCGGGUAACUAACAAGACCCUCUUCUAUAUUUGCUAACAUGCAAUCCGUUGCGAAUGAGCAAAAUAUAGAGACUGCUUUCGAAAGAAAGAGGAAGGUGAGGGCGACGGUAGGUCAGUACGACCCUAAUCCUCUGGGCUACACGCGAAUUGCAAUGGUAAAGGCAAUAGGAUGCCCCUCCGAAAGGAGGAGCUAAUCCCCGAAUCUUUACCUUAGUUCGGAUCGAGGUCUGUAACUCGGCCUCGUGAAGGCGGAAUCCGUAGUAAACGCGUUUCAACAAAGCGCGGUGAAUUCUUUCCUGCUCCU
Molecule: ribosomal RNA, 865 nt
Filed under: uncultured archaeon
Lineage: Archaea
Description: bacterial SSU rRNA
Rfam family: Archaeal small subunit ribosomal RNA
Source: RNAcentral